UGACCAAGGUGUCACCAUGUACUGCA
RNAcentral lists this non-coding RNA (26 nucleotides) under Mus musculus (house mouse). Lineage: Eukaryota; Metazoa; Chordata; Mammalia; Rodentia; Muridae. The record is from RNAcentral.